Molecule: small nuclear RNA, 20 nt
Filed under: Arabidopsis thaliana (thale cress)
Lineage: Eukaryota; Viridiplantae; Streptophyta; Magnoliopsida; Brassicales; Brassicaceae
Description: snRNA_14147
Source: RNAcentral
AAAGGAUUGGCUCUGAGGGC